RNAcentral lists this ribosomal RNA (65 nucleotides) under Rhizoctonia solani. RNAcentral's name for it is "partial 28S ribosomal RNA". Lineage: Eukaryota; Fungi; Basidiomycota; Agaricomycetes; Cantharellales; Ceratobasidiaceae. The record is from RNAcentral.
AAUACCUUUAUGAUCUGAUCUCAAAUCAGGUAGGACUACCCGCUGAACUUAAGCAUAUCAAAGGC